GGUAUGUUUUACAUAGCAAUUUUAUUAGUGUGCUGUUCUCUAGAUUUAAAAAAAAAAUUUUUUUUAUCUGCAUCAUCAACAUUCUCCACCCCCUCCACCUCCCCCAUCCUUAGGUAUUUCCCAGAUACUGUCAGAACAGCCUGUACUCAGAGCUCUGAUCAAGGGCUCCCCGGUGAUCUGGACACACAUUUCUGUCACAGAGUAUUGCUAAGUAAGAUGAAGUGUUAAGAUUAUGGGGAUUUGUACUAGGUUACAGAUUCUGAGACAUCAUGUGAGGUGGCGUGACAACUCAUGUUCCCUGGCACAUUUUCCAAGCUUGGCCUUUCUGCAACCUGUGCAGUUUUUAAGGAAAUGACUGAGCAGUUUUGUUCUGGUCGGGUGGCAGGGAAUGAGGACCCAUGAGGAGACACUUGUCUUACCGUCACUUCAAAUUGUGUCAAAGAGCAGGAACAGAGGAAAUCCAGCCUGGCUAGUGGUCCUCAGCGUUGACUUGGCCCAUGAGCUAUGCACACUGAAAUGCUCUCUACACUACAGUGGCUGUAAAUGGCUGGGGGAUGUGGGCUGCUUUUGAGCUGGGUGUUUCCCUACAGAGGGCUGCUCAGUAUUGGGAAGAGUUGAUGCUUUGCACUUCCCUACUGACUUGAGUGCUCUGAGGUGGGAAAGCCCUGAGGUGGGAGAGCCCUGGGUGGGAGCGUAGGGCCCGGAGAGCUGAGUAGAGAAACAGUAGCCAUCUGUCGCCUUUCUCCACAGGACCUGGCGGACUUCAGAGAGGGGAAGUGGGUGAGCCCUGGUCAGAACUACUCGCAUACCCUGAUCUAAUCGUCACGGGUCCUGGCCACUUGGUUUAUGGCCCAUGGUCUCUGUCAAUUUGCAGACAGUGACUGAACAGCUGCUUGGAUUGUUCCCAGCCCAGAGCCCAUUAAUACAGAAUUCUACCAGGCUUUAUCCAUGGAAAAAGGAAAAUCAAAGUGCUAUUUCCCAAAGAAGGAGCGUGCAGGAUAGCCAAAGUCAAUCAGUGUCAUGACGGGAAGAAUGGAAGGUCAUGGUCAUUGGAAGGGGAGGCCACCUGGUCACUUUGCUUCAUGGACUGGAAACCUGGAUUCAAGCCCCAGCUCUUCUAUGUAACAUUGAACAGGCCACCAAACCUACCUGAAGCUCUUUUUCACAUUUGUGGACAGUGACCUUGGCUCCUUUAUCUGCCUUCUAGGAACUGGGUUACCCUGUGAAAGUAUUCUGUAAACUUAUAAAAUUCUACACAAAUGAAGGUAUUACUGUCUGAGGGAAUGGAAAAGCCCAUUGUAAAUCCAUAUUGGAUGGCAAAUGGACACCACCACUUCCUUAUAUUAGUUUUCUGGAGGUAGCUCUCCCAGCUGGAAGGAAAGGGUUAGGAUAAAAAUAAGACAGUCAUUCACAUACAUGCUACAAAUCUAAAUGGGCCUGAAUCACCCUGCUGUGCAGCCACUUCAGUAAG
Molecule: long non-coding RNA, 1471 nt
Organism: Hipposideros armiger (great roundleaf bat)
Lineage: Eukaryota; Metazoa; Chordata; Mammalia; Chiroptera; Hipposideridae
Exons: 3
Source: RefSeq, a predicted model, not a curated record